This 2479-nucleotide long non-coding RNA is filed under the name Limulus polyphemus (Atlantic horseshoe crab). RNAcentral describes it as "uncharacterized LOC111085667". The record is from RNAcentral. Lineage: Eukaryota; Metazoa; Arthropoda; Merostomata; Xiphosura; Limulidae.
UGUUUAUCAAAACAAAGAGGCCUUUUUAAAAUGUAUGAACAUUUGAUGGAAUUGCAUGAGAUGGAAUCAGGUCUUAGUUCUCAUCCCGGACUCCACUUGCUAUUCAGAAGCCAACUACGAUACGGGACCAGAGUUGGAGCCUAGCCUUAUUAUGAUGUCCAAGUUUUCCCUGCUGUCAGUAUUGUGAGCAUUAACCGGCCUCUGCUGCUUUAAUUCAUUCACUUAACUGACUCCUUCCACGCCUUCGCUUCUGCUCCAUAUAAACUUGAUAAUUAUCUGCCAGCAAUGGCCCUAUUGCAAUGCAGAUGAACCGAUACUUGCAUAUAAUUACAAACGAAUACAAGAAACGUCGUGCGCGUCUUUCACCAUCAUUGCCCGGCUUGCUGCCGAGUAAGAUAGAGCCAGUAAAGCACGAGGAAACAGCGCCUUCAUCUGAUCGGUCUGACUAUUCUCCGGGCAGGUUGCCGGAAGUUCUCUAAGAGACUUGCGACAAAACGUUAUAGCUUGCGGCGUAUCUGGUAGCAAUGGUAAGUCAUUUCCAGGACCGUAACUUUAGACUGUCCAAAGCAGGAUUUAUCCAUUGGUUAUGAUUAACACAAGAUAUGUAGUUCUACCUGAACAGGAAGCCCAAGAAAAAAGCCAUUAGUUAGGCGGACAUGUCAUAAAACUCUACUAAGGUAGAUUUGUCGGUGAUGUAUAUAAACAAUCAUGAAAUUAGUAUUCAACCAAUAAGAGACAAAAAAAACAGGUAUAAUUAUCGGGGUUUUUCAGUUCUUAAAGAAACAAAUAGAAUUGUGUUUAAAAGAAGCUUCCCAACCAAAUAACAUUGUAUUUACAUAAUAGUAAAUAUUAUUAAUAUUUUAGCUGCUAGGUUAAUACUUAAAAAUAAUGUAAUCAAAAAGUGUUGUACGUGACUGGAAAUUAUCGUUUCUGACAGAUAAGUAGUGUUUUGGUUGUAAACAGCGUUUGGUUGAAUAAUUACGUCAUAGUGGAAUUACAUAGAGGAGUCGCAUUUGAUAAUGAACAAAUACUUCAAUUGAUGCGGAACAACAAGGAUAAUGGCCAUUUAACAUGGAACAAUGUAGAGAAAUUCAACCGACACUAAAUAAAAGGAAUAAAACAUAAAUAACACGACAUUGAACAGCAUGAAGAAUAAUCAACCGACAAGAAACAACGUGGAGAAAACUAAAGUGAAGACAGACGAUAUCAAGAAAUGCUAAGUGAUACGGUGAACAUGAAGAAAGGUCAGCUAAUAUAAUACAGCAUGAAGAAAGUUCAUCUGGUGUGAGAAUUGAAGGAAGAAAGUAGACACAACUUCACCCUGUGAAGAACAAUCUGAAAAAUGAUAAACUAGAACGAAAAAUGUGUGGAACAAAAACUCAAUAACAACGUUGCAACGUGAAGAAUUAAUUACCUGAUACGGAACGACAUACUGAAAUUAAACUAAUGGAUGAGCAUACAAAAAAAAACUGAUAAAAUAACAUGUAAAAAGUACAACUGGCGUGGUAUAACGCAGAAAACAGUUCAACCAAAGUUGAAGAAUAUAGUAAAAAAAUCAAACAAUAAGAAAAUAUAUCAACAAAACUACAUAGAAAAUUCAAAUGACGCUGAGAAAUGUUAAGGCUGGUCAACACAUCAUGGAAAUGUAAACUAAUAAAUGGAAAAAAUAUAAAACAACUGAAAAGUAACAGAGACGAAACGAAUAGUACGAAAACUAGACGAACGGAAUUGUACGAGAUACGACCAUGAGAUGGUUCAGUAUAUACACUAGCAGUCUUUUUCAGAAACUAUAAUCAAAACCAAGGUGAAAAACAUAGCAGCUACAAAGUUCCAGUCAAAUACGUGCUGGGAGAAAACGAUAACAUAGUCGUACCACACUUAAGUGAGAUCAGCGAAGUUUCAACUGGUGCCUCUGAUAGGUUUACAACUUUAGUCCUUAAUCAAUGGAUGAGGAAUAUGUCGAGGAGUUGUCUUGUCACCAGUAGGAGCUGCUUCUGUUCAAAAUGUCAUGUGUGCAUCUUUAAAUGAAAUAUCUUGAAUCAAUAUUAUAACAGCGAAGGUACCUAGGAUCAACUCAUUCAACUGAUGAUCUACGUAGAAACUAUAGCUGAUAUCUAAGAUCAACUCGUUGAACUGAUGAUCAACAUAGAAACUAUUGUUGUGUAUCGAGAAACAACUCAUUCAAUUUAUCUACAUAAGAAUUAUAGCUGAUGUCUAGGAACAGCCUUUUAUACUGCUUUGAAUUAUAUUAAGAAGAAUUACCGAUAGUAUAAAGGUUUUGGAUUUGCUACAAUAUUUACCUUUAGCUUGACGUGUAAGAAACUUGAAAGAAGUAUAGAUUGUAAUAUUUAAACCAGUGGAGUGACCUUCAUCCAUGAAUAUGGCAAUAUUAUCUAAUACUUUAUGUGUUCUUACUUCUUUAAUGUUUACUCUUUACAAAUCUAAUCAUGUCUGUAGAAAUACUUUUACAGAUGUAUCA